CUUCGGGUUAGUGGCGGACGGGUGAGUAACGCGUGAGAAUCUGCCCUCAGGAGGGGGAUAACGGCUGGAAACGGCCGCUAAUACCCCAUAUGCCGAGAGGUGAAACGAAUUUCGCCUGAGGAUGAGCUCGCGUCUGAUUAGCUAGUUGGUGGGGUAAGAGCCUACCAAGGCUUCGAUCAGUAGCUGGUCUGAGAGGAUGAUCAGCCACACUGGGACUGAGACACGGCCCAGACUCCUACGGGAGGCAGCAGUGGGGAAUUUUCCGCAAUGGGCGCAAGCCUGACGGAGCAACGCCGCGUGAGGGAUGAAGGCCUCUGGGCUGUAAACCUCUUUUAUCAAGGAAGAAGAUCUGACGGUACUUGAUGAAUAAGCCACGGCUAAUUCCGUGCCAGCAGCCGCGGUAAUACGGGAGUGGCAAGCGUUAUCCGGAAUUAUUGGGCGUAAAGCGUCCGCAGGCGGUCUUGUAAGUCUGUCGUCAAAGCGUGGAGCUUAACUCCAUUUAAGCGAU
Molecule: ribosomal RNA, 508 nt
Filed under: uncultured cyanobacterium
Lineage: Bacteria; Bacillati; Cyanobacteriota
Description: bacterial SSU rRNA
Rfam family: Bacterial small subunit ribosomal RNA
Source: RNAcentral